Molecule: small RNA, 576 nt
Filed under: Drosophila willistoni
Lineage: Eukaryota; Metazoa; Arthropoda; Insecta; Diptera; Drosophilidae
Description: GK28257
Source: RNAcentral
CAAUAACAAAAGUAUUAAAAGUUAAAACACGUGAAUUUUAAAUAUCUGCACCUCUGCUUGCCUCUCUCACCAAUAUCUCGAGAAUGCUCAGCAAUAAGCAACUAUACAAAGAGCAAGCAAUAUAAUAUACCAUUCAUCGAUAUUAUAACUUAGCAACAAUCAGCACUCCAAAUAUAAAAAAAACACCACUACCAACAACAACAAAAACAACAACAACAGCAACAACUAAACGUUUAAAAAGUGUCAUCUUCGUCUUCGUAUUAUGCCACUUAAUCAAACUGCGAAAAGAAAUGUGAAAAUGAAACAAAACAGGGAAACAAAGCCCUUGAAAUCAAUAAUAAAAAUAAUAAUAAAAGCGACUCCGCCGCCAUCAUCUGGCCCCUGGAACAUCAUCGCGACGUUGCGGAAAACCCUUUGCAACUUUAACAUCUUUACCUACAUCUAAGAUAACAUGAAGUGCAUUAGAGAAGGUCGCCAGGAGGAGCAUUUUGGAGCAAUAUCUCGAGAUGUGUUGACGCCGCAUACAAAUGAGAUGUAAUGAGAAGCAGGAGUCACGUUUCAUCUACCCAAUUCGGC